UCGGGAAUUUUGGGCAAUGGGCGAAAGCCUGACCCAGCAACGCCGCGUGAGGGAUGAAGUAUUUCGGUAUGUAAACCUCGAAAGAAUGGGAAGAAUAAAUGACGGUACCAUUUAUAAGCUCCGGCUAACUACGUGCCAGCAGCCGCGGUAAUACGUAGGGAGCAAGCGUUGUUCGGAUUUACUGGGCGUAAAGGGCGCGUAGGCGGCGCGGUAAGUCACUUGUGAAAUCUCUGAGCUUAACUCAGAACGGCCAAGUGAUACUGCUUUGCUAGAGUGCGGAAGAGGCAACCGGAAUUCUUGGUGUAGCGGUAAAAUGCGUAGAUAUCAAGAGGAACACCUGAGGUGAAGACGGGUUGCUGGGCCGACACUGACGCUGAGGCGCGAAAGCCUGGGGAGCAAA
This 400-nucleotide ribosomal RNA is filed under the name uncultured bacterium. RNAcentral's name for it is "bacterial SSU rRNA". It matches the Rfam family "Bacterial small subunit ribosomal RNA", at positions 355 to 772 of the family's 1533-position model. The record is from RNAcentral.